AUUACUAAUCUGCGACGCAAAUGACUCUUUAAGUCACCUGCGUCGCAGAUUAGUAAUUCUGCGACGCAGAGGAGGUAAAAAAAAUUCGGAAGUUUUUAAUUAUUCCUUCUCCCCUCUUUUUCUCUCUCUUCUUCUUUCCAGAACUCCAUUCAUGAGAUGUCAAUACCUCUCAAUCUUUCAUUCAUUUGAAAUCUCCUCUAACCACUAUACGUAUUUUGCCUUUAAUUUACCCGGAAAAAUCAAGAUUUGCGAAAACACGGCUCGAAGAGAAAAAUCCUAGAUUCCGCCGCGAAGAAGGAGACAUUUCAAAGCAGUGCAGCUCGAUUGCUAGCGAGUCUCCGAUCCAAUUCUGCGAAUUAGUUCGUCGGCGAUUUAGGGUUUUUAAGGUUGGGUGAAACGCCAAACCGUUGGAGCUGGAUCUUCGGUUAACGUCGCCGCCGUCAUUGAUUACCUUAUUUCUUAGAUGGUGCCUGAUAUUGUAGAGGGUGAUGGGUUUGUUGGGAGGCAGCCUCAUAUCAAGUAUGAGCUCAGAGAUAGUCCUGGUCUUGGAGGAUACAACCAAUGUGUAUUCUUCAACUGCAGUUAUAGUAGUUCGGAUACUCCACUGAGUGAGGGUCAGUGCCAUUGGUUUUCUCCCAAGGGUUCUACUUUGCUUAAAGCGGGCUCUAAAAAUCGCAAAUGCCGCUCAACAGAUGGCUAAUGCUACUCGGGGUAGUGGUGGUUUAGUUAUGCUGUUCAUUGAAAUCAUCAAUAAGAUCUUUUACCUGUUUGCUGUUGCUUUUCUGCUGAUCUACCAGUCACUUUUCCAUCUAUUUCACCACCUUAGCUGCAAUUUUCUUCGAUGGAGGUUGUAGGAGUUGAAAUUCUCUCUCUGACAGAACUAUUAGCCAUUUCUUGGACUGGAUUUGGCUGUUGAUGAAAUGACUCUGCAUCAUAUUUGCAUUAAGUGCUUCUUGUACUAACUUUAUGGCUGCAGUCUGUUGCAGUCCAAGUUUCUCUGUCUUUGCAACUUGGUCAUCAACUUCCUAAAGAUUGUUGCUGUUUUUA
Spinacia oleracea (spinach) is the source of this 1047-nucleotide long non-coding RNA. RefSeq lists it as uncharacterized. The record is from RefSeq and is a predicted model, not a curated record. The transcript has 6 exons. Lineage: Eukaryota; Viridiplantae; Streptophyta; Magnoliopsida; Caryophyllales; Amaranthaceae.